This 407-nucleotide ribosomal RNA is filed under the name bacterium. Its description in RNAcentral is "partial 16S ribosomal RNA". It matches the Rfam family "Bacterial small subunit ribosomal RNA", at positions 355 to 776 of the family's 1533-position model. The record is from RNAcentral.
UGGGGAAUAUUGGACAAUGGACCGAGAGUCUGAUCCAGCAAUUCUGUGUGCACGAUGAAGUUUUUCGGAAUGUAAAGUGCUUUCAGUUGGGAAGAAAAAAAUGACGGUACCAACAGAAGAAGUGACGGCUAAAUACGUGCCAGCAGCCGCGGUAAUACGUAUGUCACAAGCGUUAUCCGGAUUUAUUUGGCGUAAAGCGCGUCUAGGUGGUUAUGUAAGUCUGAUGUGAAAAUGCAGGGCUCAACUCUGUAUUGCGUUGGAAACUGUAUAACUAGAGUACUGGAGAGGUAAGCGGAACUACAAGUGUAGAGGUGAAAUUCGUAGAUAUUUGUAGGAAUGUCGAUGGGGAAGCCAGCUUACUGGACAGAUACUGACGCUAAAGCGCGAAAGCGUGGGUAGCAAACAGG